This 69-nucleotide transfer RNA is filed under the name Pseudempusa pinnapavonis. RNAcentral describes it as "tRNA-Leu". Lineage: Eukaryota; Metazoa; Arthropoda; Insecta; Mantodea; Mantidae. The record is from RNAcentral.
UCUAAUAUGGCAGAAUAGUGCAAUGGAUUUAAACCCCAUAAAUAAAGUUAAUUAUCACUUUUUUUAGAA